ACUUGGCUCCUAAAGCUCUAAUCGUGACAUUGGCGCCCAUACCGGUCUAUUCUAUCGCACUUGAGACGUUACCAGUGAGUUUUACUUGUAAUAAAUGGUUAUUCUUGGUGUUGGCAUUCAAAUAACUUAGUUAUAAGAUUGUAACUAAUAUUUUAAUCUCUGUGUGGUAGUACUAAACUUGUAAUUUUUGUGGAGAAUAGCUACACUAUUCUACCUACUAUAAUUUCCUUAAAGAUAAAAUGUAUCUACCUACAUUUUAUAAUAUUAACUAAAUUCUACCUACCUUUGGUAAUAUUAUUUAACUUUUAAUAACUACCUACCACACACAGAUUUUGCUUUUGUUUAACUUUUGUAAUGCUUACUGUCUUAUUGUGUAAUUUGCAACACACACCCGCGCGCCUACCUAGUAUUUUUUUAUAUUACGUACUCGGUAAUUCUAAUCUAAAAUAUAUAUUUAACUUGUAACUGAAAACGUUACUUCUAAAUAAACUAUUAAAUUAAAUAAUAAAUUGUAAAUACUACUAAAAAUAAACAAUUUAUUAUACCUACUCGUAUCUUACCUACUGGUAUCUCUUAAACCUAUAAUUGAAAAUCUACCUUAAUUAAAAAGUCUAAAACUAUUUUUAACUGUCUUGUCUGACGCACCAUCUAAAAUGGAUUGCAAGGUACACUCUACUUAGUACCUCUUUGCAUUGCUUAGGACUUAAGAUAGGAAGUUGUUGGGUGCAGCAGUUGCUAAACAACUGCGCAUACUUGUAAUUAGCUGUAGUCUACCCUACAGAUAAUAUUCCGACCUCUUCAUUAAAUAAUGGUUAUCUUAUGACUUUCUCUAAAUCUUAACUUAAUGAAUCUUGUGAGUAUUAUGAGAUCUACUAAAAAUCAUAUACUCUGUACGUCAGGUUGCAAGUAAACAGACCUAAAAUGUUUAUUUUGUUAGUCAGACUCAAGAUUAGCUAGUACAGUUGAGAUAGCGGAUUUUCCUUAGGUAAAAUCCUACCGUAAAAAGGGGGAUAUGUAACGGUUAGCGUUACCGCUGACCGUUAUCUUAGAUCUAAAUUCUAAUUUAAUUACUAUUAUCUACCUAAAUAAAUAAACUUUAAUAAUAAUAUAUCUAAAUCAACGUAAACUACCUAACUAAAUAACUUAAUUAAAUAAUUUAUAUUGUUCUACACUAAUAAAAUAAAUAAAAUAAUAAAUCUACAAGCAAACCCGCGCGAAACAAGUUGUUAAAUAUUUCUUUUGUUCUCUGUCGAGCGGGCGGGCUGUUUUUUAUGUAUGCGCAAGCGACGCGCCUACGGCCGCGAUGCUCCCGCCGCGUCUCCUAGUCCGAGCCAGAGCGUUAGUGAGCACGGACGUAUCGCUGUCCGUCACCGCCGGACCCGCGAUGUACAUAAUAUCUUAGAAACUAAAAUGUAAUCGCGUAUUGGUGAACCCCGCUACCGGGGUUCAUCUCCACCUUCACGCUCAUCUUCUUCACUACAACUACCUGCCAUGCAUGGCCAGCGCACUACAGCCGAACUACCACUUGGCUCCUCAACCCGGCAGAGCUGCCUGUCGUGUCGGACGGCCCGUACGCACACUCUAAGUGGCCCUACACCACAGUGCGUACGGUCCCUAACCGUCUGGCGCGUCGACGACCCUGCGGGCUCACCACCAGCGAGGAACCAAACCACAUCACCAUCAAUGCUAGCGAGGACAGUGGUUUGAAUACACUACCACCGGUGACGAAUCUCGUGCGAUACGAUAGUUUGCUCGACAACCCACUCCCUAAGAGUUCUCACUACUUUAAAUCUAAAUAAAUUACUUGUUAACCUAAA
Ostrinia nubilalis (European corn borer) is the source of this 1817-nucleotide long non-coding RNA. RefSeq lists it as uncharacterized. Lineage: Eukaryota; Metazoa; Arthropoda; Insecta; Lepidoptera; Crambidae. The record is from RefSeq and is a predicted model, not a curated record. The transcript has 2 exons.